Molecule: ribosomal RNA, 252 nt
Filed under: uncultured bacterium
Lineage: Bacteria
Description: partial 16S ribosomal RNA
Rfam family: Bacterial small subunit ribosomal RNA
Source: RNAcentral
UACGUAGGGGCAAGCGUUGUCCGGAAUCAUUGGGCGUAAAGAGCGUGUAGGCGGCCAGAUAAGUCCGCUGUGAAAUCUCGAGGCUCAACUUCGAGCUGUCGGUGGAAACUGUCUGGCUAGAGUCCGGAAGAGGAGAAUGGAAUUCCUGGUGUAGCGGUGAAAUGCGCAGAUAUCAGGAAGAACACCCGUGGCGAAGGCGGUUCUCUGGGACGGUACUGACGCUGAGACGCGAAAGCCAGGGGAGCAAACGGG